Molecule: ribosomal RNA, 284 nt
Filed under: uncultured bacterium
Lineage: Bacteria
Description: partial 16S ribosomal RNA
Rfam family: Bacterial small subunit ribosomal RNA
Source: RNAcentral
GUGGAUUAGAUACCCGGGUAGUCCACGCCGUAAACUAUGGGUGCUAGCCGUCGGGGAGCUUGCUCUUCGGUGGCGCAGCAAACGCAUUAAGCACCCCGCCUGGGGAGUACGGUCGCAAGAUUAAAACUCAAAGGAAUUGACGGGGGCCCGCACAAGCGGUGGAGCAUGUGGUUUAAUUCGAGGCAACGCGAAGAACCUUACCAGCCCUUGACUUCCCGAUCGGGGCUCCGGAGACGGAGCUCUUCAAUUGGUCGGUGACAGGUGCUGCACGGCCGUCGACAACU